AUUGAACGCUGGCGGCAGGCUUAACACAUGCAAGUCGAGCGGGGUGAUGGUGCUUGCACUAUCACUUAGCGGCGGACGGGUGAGUAAUGCUUAGGAAUCUGCCUAUUAGUGGGGGACAACAUCUCGAAAGGGAUGCUAAUACCGCAUACGUCCUACGGGAGAAAGCAGGGGAUCACUUGUGACCUUGCGCUAAUAGAUGAGCCUAAGUCGGAUUAGCUAGUUGGUGGGGUAAAGGCCUACCAAGGCGACGAUCUGUAGCGGGUCUGAGAGGAUGAGCCGCCACACGGGGACUGAGACACGGCCCAGACUCCUACGGGAGGCAGCAGUGGGGAAUAUUGGACAAUGGGCGAAAGCCUGAUCCAGCCAUGCGGCGGGUGUGAAGAAGGCCUUAUGGUUGUAAAGCACUUUAAGCGAGGAGGAGGCUCUUUUGGUUAAUACCCAAGAUGAGUGGACGUUACUCGCAGAAUAAGCACCGGCUAACUCUGUGCCAGCCGCCGCCGUAA
This 503-nucleotide ribosomal RNA is filed under the name uncultured bacterium. RNAcentral's name for it is "partial 16S ribosomal RNA". It matches the Rfam family "Bacterial small subunit ribosomal RNA", at positions 30 to 523 of the family's 1533-position model. The record is from RNAcentral.